RNAcentral lists this long non-coding RNA (213 nucleotides) under Prunus persica (peach). RNAcentral's name for it is "long non-coding RNA (PPER_LNC001485)". Lineage: Eukaryota; Viridiplantae; Streptophyta; Magnoliopsida; Rosales; Rosaceae. The record is from RNAcentral.
CGUGGAUGAGGGUGAUGAAGCAACAUUUUAUCCAGUUGUAAUCCUUGUGUUGUCAUGAGUGCGUAAGCGUGCUCAUAUUCCAAUUCGGAUGUCGUUUGACUAUCGAACGAAUUGUCGCAUAUUGUGCGUUAUCCGGGUUCAAUAGGUUCUGACCGUUGAAUCGUCUCCGAAUUAAAAUAUAUUAAUCUAGGCACUUUUAGAAACGUGUAGGAG